AGGUUUGGAGUGACCGUAUUACAAAAUAAACCAUCUACAGUGGACUUGGAAGUGGCAGUGAAUGGAAUAUUGAAUAAUAUUGAUCGAGGCAUUGAAGUUUCAAUUCAAUCAUGGAAGAUGAUAGCUCUAAUUUGGGACUGUAUUGGGCGAGGAUAGCAAUGACAAUGACAUGGCUACAUGUUAAUUCGCUUUCCGCAGGAUAAUAUUUUCAAGGUGGAAAUGAGAGUUGUGCUAAAGGGUUUGCGUGUUGCAUGGGGGAUAGGAUUGCGAUAGGUUGAGGUAGACUGUGAUAAUGCACUUCUAGUUGAAUCAUUGUUGGCUGGUGGAUCUGUUAAUAGAAGAAUGGUGGAGCUACAUUUGAUUCAUGGUAUCUUUAAUCGUAAGUGAAAGGUGCCAUGUUCCUAGAUCCCAAAACGCGGUUGCUGGUCAUAGGGCAAGACUUGCGGUAUCUGGUGCUCCAAGUCUAGUGGUUUUUUAAUAACCUUCAAUAUCGGUCCAAUAUGUAACACCCCUAACCCGAAUCUGUCACCGGAACAGGGUUACGGAGUAUUACCGAAAUUUAUAAAUUAAUUUUCAGACAUUUCAUUUCAUCUAACAUUCAAAUAUAUUCACAUCAAUAACAAACAUUUCAAGCAUUUAAGAAUAUAAUUCAAGUUACACGAACUUACCGGGCUAAACUGUAGAAAUACCACAAUUCAGGGACAUUUUGAUAAUUUUUCAUUUUCCUUGAAUUUCCACCCAAUCUUGAUCUAAUUUAAUAUUUCAUUCAAUUUAUUAAUUUAAAUAAUAAAACAAUUCAUUUCAUGCAAUUUGGUCAUUUUUGACAUUUUUAUAAAAUUUCCCUUAAAAUUUUACUUUUAUUCAAUUUAGUCCUUGAACCUAAAACAUGUAAAUUAGCUAUUUUAAAAUAAACUCAUAUUAUCUGAAUAUUCACAUAUAUUUUUCCUCCUCCUCCACUCCAUUCCACAUCCUUGAUAUAUACAUAAUACCACUAUUUACUUGUUUACUCAUAACAAGUUGUUCACUUGAGUCAUAGUCACUAAAUUAAUUAUAUCUUAAGCUACAGAACUCCAAAUUGAGAUCAGUAAAUUUUAUAUGAAACUAGACUCACAUAUAUUUUUACCAUAAAAUUUUCUGAAUUUUUGGUUUAUUCAAUAAGUACAGUUUAUUCUUUAAAUUCAUCCCUAUUAUGUUGUCUGACAGUUUUGACCCUUCUUCACUAAAAAUUAAUUAUCUCAUCGUACGGGAUACAGAUGAUGUUCUCAUUUGUUUAUAUUAAAAAUAGACUCAUUAAUAAUUUUAAUAAUGUAAAUUUUAACCCCUAAUUAUUUUUCUCCAAUUUUUUAUGAUUUUCAAAAGUCAGAACAGGGGAACCCGAAUUCAUUCUGACCUUGUCUCACAAAAUUCAUUAUAUUUCAUGAUUUAAAAUUCCAUUACUUACACCGUUUCUUCUAUUAGAAACUAGACUCAAUAAGAUUUAAUUACAUAUUUUUAUUAUCCUCUAAUUAAAUUUGCAUGAUUUAUGGUGAUUUUUCAAAUUUAACCUACUGCUACUAUCCAAAACUGUUUUAGUGCAAGAUGUUGAUUACUAAGUUUAUAACUCCCUUAUUCCCUUUCUCUAUAAUAUUUCCCAUCACUUUCACUUAUUUCCCUUCACUAAUAUAUCAAGAACAUAAGACCUUAUAUAAGAAAACUCUACUAUAACAUCAUUUCCAUGCUUUUUCAAUAAUAUCAAACUUAAAAAUAUAUUGAAAUCUUGAUGUUCUUACCUUGUCAUAUUGAUUUCAAUCUUUAACUUAAUUUUCUCUCUCGUCCAGCUUCUAUUUCUCGAAUCUAACUUGAUAUUUUAGCUCCUCAUAGUCUCCUUGUUAUCUUUCUCUCUUGAGAGAUAUGGAAAUUCUUUUGAUUUCUAGGUGAAAAUGAUAAAUUUUUGGUAGAAUGACCAAUUUGUAAAGAAAGCAAAAAUUUCUUUCUUCUCUUCUCUUCUAACGUGAAAUGCAUGGAAAGAUGGUGGGUUGGAUGAUUCUUCAUCUUUCUUUUCUUAUAUAUAUACUAAAUCAAAUACUAAUAAAAUAAUAAAAUAUUAUUUAAAAAUCAAAUUAAAAUAUUAAUAAACUAAUAUUUAUUUAUUUAAUUAAUCUAAAAUAUCUCCAAUAUCAUCAUUAACUUCUAGAUUUCUCUCUCUUCUAAUUGACCAUUUUGCCCUUUAUGAUCUCUCAAAAUUCCAUCCUUGAGUCAUCACUUAAUUUGGUAAAAUUGCGAUUUAGUCCCUCAAAAUUCUUCACCUUUUUCAAUUUGGUCCUAAUCUAUCCAUUUUCCUUAGUUUCUAGAUCAUUCCACCCUUAAAAUAUUUACACCAUUGGUCCUUCAACUUUUUCAUAUUUACACUUUCACCCCUCAAAUUUUGAGUAUUUACUCUUGGGCAACAAAAUUUUUCUCUCUUUUGCGAUUUAAUCCUUUCUUAAACUAGUAUGUCAUAAUAUACUUCCCAAUGUUGACAUAACUCCAAAAUUUCCCCUUUUUGUCGCUUUAUUUCCUUAUUUUAUUAUAUCAAAUAUAAUAUCUUAUUGUAAAAAAAUUUUUUUGGGGUAUUACACAAUAACUUCUAUUAAUUGAUAAGAAGAGCUUUCAUAUGUUCUGAGACGGGUGUUUUUUUGUAAUCGAUUUAUGCUAUUCUUUUCUACCAAAAGAGAAUUUGUGGGUAGAGUAUACUAAAAGAAAUGUAAAAAAUAAAGAAUUGCAAUAUGAACGCAAUAACCAUACUCCUUUAUUAAAGUUAAAGAAAGAUAAUCUUUUAGGUUUACAUACCCUACUUCUUUAUUAAAGUUAAAGAAAGAUAAUAUUUCUUUUUAGACUGCCCCCACUAAUAAUUCAUCAACUUUUAACUAGCUCCCAAAUCUCAAGGAAAUUGCAAUGCUUUCCAACUUCCACACCAAAAAAGUGGAGAUGAAUUAUCUCAAUUUCCUUUAUUCGGUUUCAAGGUGUCUACUACCUUCUAUUCUUACUUACACUUGCCUCCUUUACCAUCUCACUCCUCUAAUGGAAAAGCUUCAAAACCUCCUCCUCCUCCAGUUGUUGCUGCUUCUUUCCCUUUCAUCAGCUUACACGCCUCCAGAUAAGUACUUCAUCAACUGUGGAUCUAAUUCUAACGUCUCAGGCAGCGGAGGUCGAAACUUUGUCGGUGACCUGAAUUCCGGUGUUUCCUUCUUUGUAGGGCAAAGCAGCCCUGUCCCUUAUGCAAAUCCUUCCUCAUCUCAACUCUAUCAAUCCGCAAGAAUCUAUCGACGCCCUUCCUUUUACGAGUUUGUAAUUAAUGAGAGCGGCACCUACUUUGUACGUCUCCAUUUCUUUGUUUCUUCAUCUGAUUCUAAUCUAGCCACAGCUAAAUUUAAUGUCUCAGCUUCAGGAUUUUGGCUAUUAUCAGACUUUACUCUCAAGAACAGUAUUAGUUCACCUGUCAUCAAAGACUUUUUGGUCACCAUCAAUGUAAAAAGAUUUAGGAUCUACUUCAUACCUUCCCAUGGAUCAAACUUGGCUUUCGUAAACGCCAUCGAAGUCUUUCUUACCCCCGAGGAUUUCAUCCCCGAUACCGCUUCUCGUGUUACUCCUGCAGGAAGUAGAAUUUCUUUUGAUGGUUUGCCUUCUCAGGUGUUGCAUACACUUUUUAGGAUUAAUGUUGGAGGGCUUACCCUCACACCAGAAAAUGAUACAUUGUGGAGGAACUGGAUACCAGAUGAUAGUUUCUUGCUUAAUCCAAUGGCUGCAAGGAACAGUGACUUCUUCCCUGAUUCACCUAACUAUCGAGAAGGAGGAGCCACUGAAUAUACUGCCCCAAGCCCUGUGUAUAGGACUGCAAAAGAAAUGAAUAUAGAUGAGAGCAGACAACUAAAUUUCUUCAAUGUUACAUGGAGUUUUAAUGUGAGCAAGAGUUCUAGUCACUUCGUUCGGGUCCACUUUUGUGACAUAAUUAGUGUAUCUCUUAAUGUCACAAUCUUCGAUCUCUAUAUCUACAACAAGUUUAGUGUGAGGAUUAAUCCAUAUGAUAAAAUGGGUCAGUUGGCUACUCCAUUUUACUAUGAUUUUGUGGUUGAUUCUGAUGAGUCUGGAAUCAUGAACAUAAGUAUAGGGCCUCGAUCGGAUUCUCAAAAUCAAACUGCCUUUCUGAAUGGGCUAGAGAUAAUGCAGUUAAUGAAGAAAUCAGAUUUUGUUUCGUGGCCAGGGAAGCCUGAAAGUAAUAAGACUAGUCUGUUUGCUAUAGUUGGCUCCAUUGGUGGGGGUUCAUUUGUUAUUAUUUUGGUAGCAAUAGUGCUUCUGAGUUUGAAAAGGAGAAAAGUAAAGCCUGGACAAUCUUCAAGUUGGCCUUUCUCAGGGCCUUUCUAUGCAAGAAGCAGUUCUUACAAUAGAAUGUCUGAAAAGACUUCUAAUAUGUUACCUUCCAAUUUAAACCUUGCUUUGAGAUUAUCAUAUCAUGAAAUUGAGCAAUCAACCAAGAACUUCGAUUCCAACUUGGUGAUUGGGGAGGGUGGAUUCGGAAAAGUCUAUCAAGGAAUGUUUCGUGGCAUGAAAGUGGCUGUGAAAAGGAGUGAACCAGGACAUGGCCAAGGCCUUUUAGAGUUCCAAACCGAGAUAGUGGUCUUAUCUCAAAUUCGCCAUCGUCAUCUUGUUUCCUUAAUCGGAUAUUGUGAUGAAAGAUUUGAAAUGAUACUGGUCUAUGAAUUCAUGGAGCAAGGAACUCUUAGAGAUCAUCUCUAUUAUUCAACUGCCGAUCUUGAGAAAUCAUACAGUGCACGUUCUGAAUUCUCUUGGAAGCAAAGACUAGAAAUUUGCAUCGGUGCAGCUAAAGGCCUUAAUUACCUGCACACAGGUGCAGCUGGAGGAAUCAUUCACCGUGAUGUUAAGUCAACAAACAUCUUGCUUGAUGAACAAUUUGUGGCCAAAGUUGCUGAUUUCGGUCUUUCAAAAUCAGGCAUUCCUGAUGUAGAACAUAGCGUCGAUGUAAAAGGUACCUUUGGUUAUCUUGACCCUGAAUACUUCAUGUCUCUACAGUUGACAGAUAAAUCCGAUGUGUAUUCUUUCGGAGUUGUACUUCUAGAAGUCCUUUGUGCCAGGCCAGCGGUCAUCAACUCGAACAGGAGGGAGGAAGUGAACUUAGCUGAAUGGGGAAUGUAUUGGCUGAGGAAAGGUCAACUUGAUAAUAUUAUUGAUCCAAUACUAGUGGAUACUAUUAAUCCCAACUCAUUUAGGAAGUUUGCUGAAACAACAGAGAAGUGUUUGAAGGUAUAUGGUAGUGAAAGGCCAAUCAUGCGUGAUGUUUUGUGGGACUUGGAAUAUGCAUUGCAGCUUCAGCUUACUCCAAUCAACAGAGGCCCGCUUGAAGAUAGUAUAACCAAUGCUUCAUUGGAAUUUUCGAUGCCUGUUCUCCAUCAAUUACCGUCUAAUAGCUUUCCAGCUGUUGAUGAAGACAACACUACUCUAGUAUUUGAUGAUACUUCAGAUGUAACUGCUAGUGAAGUAUUCACAGAAUUGAGGAUUGGUGAUUCUAGAUAAUCUCCACUGGUUUAAAGGAAAAACCCCAUUUUUUUAGAAGAAUUUCAGUGGUGUAGGACAAUGGGAACCCCAUCAAUAUACAUGUUUCACUGCAGUAAUACAAAGUAAUUUCUCAUGAGUGAUGUACAAGCCCAUUUUGCCCAGGCCCAAAAACUCACUUAAACCUACCCAAACCCAAUUACAAUACCCAAAUAACCCAUUACAGGCCCAAAACCCAAACCAACUAGAUCUAGCCCAACAGCCCACAAACCCAAUACCCAUCAGCAGAAACAAGGAUAGCAAAACAGUAACCCUAACCCUAGGUGCGCCACACCUAGGGUCGUCCGCUUGCCCUGCCACAGCCGCCAUCGCCAUGCCCACUUGCCACUGCUCACCUGCUCCGCCGCCCAUCAAUCAUCUGCAAAAUGAAGGAAAACACGCAAGUAGAAACAAGAAAGAAAAAACAAAAAAUAAAUCAUGUAUGUUUCAGCUAUAAAAGCCUUGAAAAAGCUUUGUUGUUUCGGGGGGGUUACAAAAAAAAAACAGAGGAGAAAUAAAAAAGCAAUUGAAUUUCUAAGGUGAUUUUCCUUAUGUUAUUUAUUUACUAUUUUUUCUAAUAAUUUUACAAAGAAAAAAACAAAAAAGGUUAGGGUUUUACCUAUUUUGGUGGCAGUGAAAGGAGAGAACCGAAAGGUUUUUUCUCACUUUCGGCCCGAUUUGUUGAGAUCUCGACAUUUUUAGCCCCAAAACGGAACUCCUCGCGAAGAGGCGCUUAAAAGGGACACUUUUUAUUUUCGCCAAUCGUCGUACACGGCGGCAUCGACAACAGCGACCAACGGCCGGUGCAGCGGCCGAUGGCCGGAGCCCUCGCCGGAGGCUGGCUGAAAAUCGUAGCUGAGAGGGAUUUGAAAGAGUGUUUUUGAAAAAAAAAACAUUUUGAAAGAGAGAAAAAAUGAAAUUUUUGGGAAUUUUUUUGGGAUAUAUAGGAGCGUGAAACGGCGCCGUUUUGGCCCAGCUCCAAAACGCCCAAAAUGGCGUUGUUUUGCGUCAGACCCGAUUACCCGACCCGUCAACUCCAGGAUCCGCGUGUUUUUUAAAACGGAAGGGCUAAUUACGCUUUCAGCCCUUCCGCUUUUAAAUAAUUUUGCAAUCAAGUUCUUUUUGUUUUUAAAUUCGCCAUGUAAUUUAUCUUGCUUUACAAUCUGGUCCAUUCCGAAACGCAAUGUUUUGGAGGGUGGGAAUAUUUCUCAUUUUGGUCCCUCCAUUUUUACGCGCGUCAGAUUGGGGCUCUGAUUCUUUUUUUUUAAAUUUGGAUCUUUAAUUUUAUUUCUUUCUCAAUUUAAUCCCUUUCGCGUUUUAUUUUUAAUUUGGGCUCUCAAUUUUAUUUUAACUUCAUUUUAAUACAGUUCUCAUUUAUUAUCAAUUCUUUUUUAUAUUUAUAUCUAUAUAUAUAUAUAUACAUACAUACAUUUUCAUAAUAUAUAUAUGUACACAUAUAUAUUUUUUAUAAUUUAUUUAAUAUAUACAUACAUACUCAUAUUUUUUUAUAAUUUAUAUACAUAUCCAUAUAUAUAUAUACAUAUACAUAUAUCUAUAUACAUUUUUUUUUUUCACGAAUAUAUAUAUACAUACUUAUAUUUUUUUUAUAAUUUUUAUGUACAUAUACGUGUAUAUACAUACUUACAUAUACUUUUAUAUUUAAUAAUUUUAAAAUACAUAUAUAUACAUAUAUUUUUCAUAUUUUCAUAAUUUUAUGUAUAUACAUACAUAUAUAUUUCUCUUAUAUGUACACAUAUUUUUUAGAAUUUUUAUGUACAUAUACGUGUAUAUACAUACUUACAUAUACUUUUAUAUUUAAUAAUUUUAAAAUACAUAUAUAUACAUAUAUUUUUCAUAUUUUCAUAAUUUUAUAUAUAUACAUACAUAUAUAUUUCUCUUAUAUGUACACAUAUACUUUUAUAUUUUACAAUUUUUAUCUAUUUUCUUUGUUGUUAUUAUUGAUUCACUUGAUGUUCAUUUAUUCAUUUAUCUACAUAUUCAUUAUUAUUACUUUAAAUGCUCUAUUUUUUUUUUACUUGUUUAUUUGCUUGUUAUUGUGUACAUGAUUGUUUUGUUUUUUUAUUUAUCUUUUUAUUAUUUUUGUUUUGCUCAUAUCAUUUUUACUUAUAUUAUUAUAAUUGUUGUUCCGUCAUGCAUAAUUUUUAUUCAAAUACAAAAAGAAAAUUUUAAAUUAAGGCAAUAUUUUGGGUUUGGAAAUUUAAGAAAACGUGCCCUAAUGUGUUGGGUUUUGAUUUCUCGUUUAGCCAAAUAGCCUAAUAUCCUUUUAAAAUUUCAAAGUAUGGAUUUUGGAAACUAUAAGGUGAUCUUGGUUUCGAGAGUUUAAAGUAUCGUAUCCUAAUGUGCUGAAUGUGAUAUCCUUUCGAAACAAGAGAAUCCUAAAUUCCAACCCAUAUUAUUCGAAAAUUUUUUAGGAUCGUAUUUUUAAAAUUCUUCAAAGUUUUCAAUCUUCGGCACUAAAGACACUAAAUAAUCAACUAGGUACUAAUUUUGGGCGUUACAAGGGUGCUAAUCCUUCCUCAUACGUAACCGACUCCCGAACCUGUUUUUCUAAAUUUCGUGGACCAAAAUCGUUGUUUUAAUAAAACCAAAUCAUUUAUUAAAAACAACCACUUUUUGAGGUGACCCGAUCACACCUCAUUAAAAAAAUUGGUGGCGACUCCCGUAUUCAUUUACUUUUUUCAAAAUCCAAGUCGACCCCGUUUUAUCAAAAAAAUAGUGUCAACAAGUGAUCUUGUUUUUAGUUUCGAUAUCAAUCUUGUUGACACCAUUUUUUGUAAAACGGGGUCGACUUGGAUUUUUGAAAACAAAAACGAACAUUAGAGUCGCGACCAAUCUUUUUUUGAUGAGGUGUGAUCGGGUCACCUCGUAAAACAGUUGUUUUAAAUAAACAGUUUAAAUUUAUUAAAAUAAUGCUUUUGGUCUGCAAAAUUCAGAAAGAUAGGUUCGAAAGUCAGUUACGUAUGAGGAAGGAUUAGCAUCCUCGUAACGCCCAAAAAUUAGUACCUAGUUGAUUAAUUAGUGUCUUAAUAUAAAAGAUGUGCAAAAAUUUUAAAAUACGAUCAUUGUAUUAAAAAACUUGUAUAAAUCAAAUUAGCCGUUAAGACCCUUUCAUUUCAAAGAGAAAAUGUUAUACCUAAUGAAUUAGGGUAUGAUAUUUCACCUCCUCAAAAAAUGAGCUUGUCCGAAAACUAAUGCAAUAAAGUUUAAAAAGAUAUUCAAUUGUUUAAGUCAGAUAAAAAAAUCGCAGCUCUCAAUACGUUAGGGCACAAUUUCUCAAAAUUCUAAACAUUGUCUAUUGCCUUUAUUAUUAUUUUUUUAAAAAUUCUCAAUUCAAGAAAACAACGUGUCAUAUCCAAUGCGUUAGGACACAACAUAUUAAAUUCCCGAUAAUGAGCUUUUUAUGUUUUUCUUAUUAAAGAGCAUUCUCGAUUAUUUAGAUUCAAUGAAAAAAUUAAAACCCAAUACGUUAGGACUCAAUCCUCUCAAAUCUAAACACGAAAUUUUACUUAUUUGAAAGUCGAAACUUAUACGUUGAGAUAAAUUAAUCUAACUUGAAAUAGUAGAAAUAAAACACGAGAUUAACAUGCGUACAAAGCAGUAUUGAAUGCAAUAGUAUAAAAAUAAUACGAGCAACAAAAAUAAAAAUGAACGAAUAAAAAGGACAAAUUAAUAACAUGCAAAAUAACAAAUAUAAUAAACAAGUAAGCUUAAAACAUUCUUUUAAAAUAAUGAUGAAAACAUAAAUAAAUAAACAAAUAAAGAGAAUGAAUAGAAUUAUAAAAGGAUAAAUAUGUAUGUGUUUAUGAAAAAAAUAGGUAUAUAGAUAUAUACAGAUAUGUAUGUAAAUAAAAAAUACAUACAAAAAAAUAACUAUGUAUAUAUAUAUACGAAUAUAAAUAAGUUAUAAAAAUAUAUAUAUGCAUAUAUGUAUAUGUAAAUUAUAAAGUAUGAAAAGGAUAUAAAUAUAUAUAUAAAUCAAAAAUAGCUUUCUACCAUUUAUAUAGAUAUAUAAAUAAAAUAGUAUUGUGUAAAACUAUUAGUGAUUUUUAAACAUAGAAGUAUAUAAAAAUAAACCUUUCUUUAAAAAUAUAUAUUUAUAAAAUAAAAUCAUUAAAAAUAUAUAGACAAUAUUGAAUUAGUAUAAAAACCUAGACUAAUACAUUAUGAAAUAUAAUAUAUGAUAAAAGAGUUAAAAUAAUAGCACAUAAUAAAAUAAAAUAAUGUAUAAAAGGGGUAAACAAAUAUAUAAAUUAAUACAACAAUAAUACUUACAAUAAUAAUAAUAAUAAUAAUAAUCUAAUUAGUUAAUAAUAAUAAAAUAACAAUGAAAAAGGGCUAAAUUAGAAAUAAAUAAAAUCUUAGGAGCGAAAUCGGGAAUAAACAAAGAAAAGAAAGGUCAAAUUGAACGUGCGGUUAACGAGGAGGGGCCAAAUGGGCAAUAAUCCCAUCCUCCAAAAAGCACCGUUCCCUUAGAGACUGAAUCAUGAUAAAAUAAAAUUAUUGGGCUUAAUUAAAAGAAAUAAAAACAAGCAAAAGGAUCUAAUUGAAACAGGUGUAAAAUUCGGAAGGACCAAGAUGGCUAUUGUCCCAAUUUAAAAGAAAACACGCGGAUCCCUGGGUGCGGGUCGGGUCGCGCAAAACGGCGCCGUUUUGGCACUAAAAGACCCUGAAUGAAACGGUGCGGUUUUGUAACACUAUAAAAGCUAAUUUUUUUUCAAAACUCAUUUCUUCUUCUUUUUCAGAAAAAAUACAGAGUAUUCUCUCUACCCCGAUCUAAGGCCAAAUAAACCAAAAAAAAGGGAAAUCUUUGGAUCUGCCUCCCCUUUUGCUGUGGCUUUUCGCCUAACCCCGAGGAUUAAGUGGCCUUGCAAAUCGGAGAGUGGGACACCGACAAACGGGUAAAUAUUUUGUUUUAUUUUCUCUUUUAAGAAUCAAAACAAAUGGAAAAAUGUCAACUUUUUUGUUUAAACCCGAUCUUUAGACCCUUUGGUAUUCGAUCCCCUGUUUCUUUUUUUCUCGUAUGUAAAAAAAGCAAUAGAUAAAAGGUAGAGUAAAAAAAACAAAAUUAAAAAGAAUUAAAACGCAAAAUCCCAGUAAACCUUCUAAAGACUUCUCCGUUUUGGUGUUUUUUAUUUUUUCUUCCUUUUUUAUUUCUGGAAAAGACCCCCUUUUUACAAAGUGAGGUUCGGCUCUUAUAGCCGAAAAUACAAGAUUUUUCCUUUCUUUUGUUCCGUGUUUUCUUUUCUUUUGCGGGUGGAGCAGGUGGCUGAGCGGUGGCAAGUGGGCGGUGACCGACGUGACAGUGGCAGCUAGGGUUUGACCGUUCUUCUGUUUCUGAUUUGAUGUUGGGAUUUGGGCUACUGUUAAUUGGGCUUAGGGUUAUUGGGCCGGGUAUUGUAAUUGGGCUUGGUUUUUAAAUGUUUAGUUUUGGUUGUAAUUGGGUUUUUGGGCCCCGGGUAAAUUUGGGCUUGUACAAAUCUGAUAGUAGGUUAAUUUCUGCCAAAUGGUUCCUGAAAUGGUGAUUGGAAGGUUACAACUAUAAGUAUAAAUUAUUGAAAGAAUCUUAAAAGAAUAUAGUUUUGAUGUGACCAGAUUGCAAGAAGACAAAUCGUCUUUAUAUUCAUUUAAGCUUACAUCAGCAUCACACUGUUUCCAUUGACCAAGUAAAUGCCUGUAAAGCCAGAAAUGUCCUCUACCGAAUGAACAAAGUCUACAAUUACGAGGGCAUUUAAGGCAUUUCCCAAUGCAACACGGCUUAGAAUUUUCUCUGAGCCUGUUUUGGUUCAUAAACGAAUUCAGGCUCCCUGUUGACUUAUCUUCAAUCCUUCAAUAGGAAUCAUUGAUUCACAUAAUGGAAUUGUUUUGAAGAGACAAAGUUUAACCAAAUACUGCAAAUCAAUGGGAAAGUUUCAGUGGGAUAAACAUCAUGAGUCUUUAAGCCUUUUUCUUUAUCUUGUCAUUUUCUUCUCAUAUCAGCUGCCUUCUUCAGCAUACACGCUUCCAGACAAGUAUUUCAUCAACUGUGGAUCAAACAUCGCCGUAAACGUCAGUUCCCAGACCUUUGUCAGUGACUCGAAUUCGGAUGUUUCAUUUACGGAACAAAACAGCUUUGUCACAUACAACAGGCAGGCAUCAGAAACACCACCUCUGUAUCAAACUGCAAGAGUUUUUCGGAAGCAGUCUUCAUAUGAGUUCAAAAUCAAUACUAAUGGCACUUACCUGGUACGCCUUCAUUUCUCCAACUCAACUGAUAUCUCAGAUGCUAUUUUCAAUGUUUCAGCUUCAGGUUUUCUCCUCUUGCAUGAUUUCACUGUCCAAAAAAUUGGCAGCUCUACCAUAACAAAGGAAUUCAUUUUGAGCAUUCCAAUAGGCAAAUUUUUAAUCUACUUUGUACCGCAAGGAUCUUCUUUCGCAUUCAUCAAUGCCAUCGAGGUCUUUCCGGCCCCUCCAGAUUUCAUUUCUGAUGAGCCUACACAGAUUAGUCGGACUGGAAACAGCAAUGAUUACAAAGGCCUGCUCUCUCAAGCAUUACAGACGAUUCAUAGGAUUAAUGUUGGAGGCCCUACACUUACACCAGAUAAUGAUACUUUGUUAAGAACAUGGCUUCCUGAUGAUAGUUAUCUGACCAAUUCAGGCAUUGCAAAGAAUAGUGAAGUUUUCUCAGGUAGGCCUAAUUAUGAUCUUGUUACCGAUUUUAUUGCACCAGAUCUAGUAUACAGGACCUCCAAAGAGAUGGCAUCAAACGACUCCAAUAUAACCUGGUCUUAUGAUGUAACCAGAGAUGCUAGGCACUUGAUUCGGGUUCAUUUCUGCGAUGUUAUUAGUGUAUCACAGAAUGUUUUAAGUUUUUUUCUCUAUAUAAAUAGCAACUUCAGCCAGAACAUUAACCCUUACCGAGAAGUGGUUAAACUGGAGACUCCAUUUUUCAUGGACUUUGUGGUUGAUUCUGAUGAUUCAGGGUUCAUAAACAUCUCCAUAGGGCCUGAUAGUAAUUCUUUAGUUCAAAAUGCUUUUCUAAAUGGCGUUGAGAUAAUGGAAAUGAUGGGGAAAUCUAAUUUGGUCCCUGUAACACAUAAGUCCAACAAUAUGUCUCCCUUCAUUAUUGUUGGUGUGGUCCUCGGAGGUCUUGUUCUUGUCUGCAUCUUUGGAGGUCUAUUGUUUAUUGGACUGAGACGUAGGAAGCCAAAACCUGUUGAAACUUCAGAAUGGUCACCAUUACCUAUAUUUAAAGGAAGUUCUCAUGGUAAAUCCAAGACACCAAGCAAAGAGGGAACCAUUACUGCUUCUCCUGUGCCUAACUUGAACCUUGGUUUAAGGAUACCAUUAGACGAGAUUAAGUUGGCAACAAACAACUUCGAUAAGAAGUUACAGAUUGUUAAGGGUGGAUUUGGGACUGUCUAUCAAGGGACUCUCCGGAAUGGCUUGAAAGUGGCUGUGAAACGAAGUCAGCCAGGGUCAGGUCAAGGUCUACCGGAAUUUCAGACGGAGAUCAUGGUUUUAUCAAAAAUUCGACAUCGCCAUCUUGUUUCUUUGAUCGGAUAUUGUGAUGAAAGGCUUGAGAUGAUACUUGUGUACGAGUUAAUGGAGAAAGGAACUUUGAGGGAUCACCUAUAUAACGCAAAACUACCUUGCUUGUCUUGGAAGCAAAGGCUCGAUAUUUGCAUUGGUGCUGCAAGAGGACUUCAUUACCUUCACAAAGGUGCAUCUGGGGGCAUCAUUCACCGUGAUGUCAAGUCGACAAACAUCUUGCUCGAUGAGAACCUUGUAGCCAAAGUAGCUGACUUUGGCCUUUCAAGAUCAGGUCCUCCGGAUCAAUCCCAUGUUAGCACAGGCAUUAAAGGAACUUUUGGUUAUCUUGAUCCUGAGUACUUUAAAACACAACAGCUGACAGAGAAAUCCGAUGUUUAUUCGUUCGGAGUGGUUCUUCUUGAGGUGCUCUGUGCAAGGCCGGCUGUCAAUCCUGCACUCCCAAGAGAGCAAGUGAACCUAGCAGAAUGGGGAAUGCGUUGCAAGAACAAAGGAUUGCUUGAUCAGAUUGUGGAUCCAUCCAUAAGAGAUCAGAUCAAUCCCAACUCAUUAAGAAAAUUUGCAGAGAUAACAGAGAAAUGUUUGCAAGAAGAUGCCUGUGAUAGGCCUGGCAUGGGUGAUGUGGCAUGGGACUUGGAGUAUGCGUUACAGCUCCAGCAAACAGCAGUUGUCCAAGAGCCACACGAGGACAGUGCAUCAAAUACUAACGGUAUGCUAUCGUUGCAUGUUAUCCAGCGUUUACCUUCCACAAAUAUCGAAUUUGAGGGAGAUGAUAUGUCCAUCAUAAAGGAGGAUGAAUCUGACUCAGUCCCAUCGGCAAGUGGAGUUUUCUCCCAAUUGAAAAUGGAUGAAGCCAGAUAAAUCAUUUGGUUUAUAAAGCAAAGUUUCCCGGUGUAAUGUUUUUUGUUCUACCCUAUGUUUCACAUCUGGAAUUAAAUUUGGCACUGCUUUCAUAAGCAAGACAUUUCAAUUACAGUGUUUAAACUGCAAGAUGUAUAAUAUAAUAAUGUAACAACCAUUUUCAAGAUCACAUGUUUACCAGACCAGAUGGUUAAACUGUACACAUGCCAGCUAGAAACACAACUUAUAUAACAUAUGUACCAAUACUAGAGUCCUGAAUAUUACAAACCAGAAGGACAAAAGGAAAAAAAUGAGCAACAUAAAUCCGAAUGAGAGAGAUUUGUACUAAAGACCAGGGCCUUUUCUGCUCGGUCCGGAAGCCGAAGUUGCCGCUUGCUACUCCUGCUUUGAUAAAACCCAACCGCUGUGACCUUCAGCUGAAUUUGAAGUCCUAACAUAUUUGAUCUCGGGAACAGCUUCCUCACUUGCAUCUCCAGUCAUCUUUGUUGAUCGAAGAGUUCUACAGCUGUAAUACCCAAUUUUAAGCCCGGGCCAAAUAAAUAAACAUCAAAAUAAUAAAAUAAUAAACAGUCCAUUUUUACAUGUAUGUGGCCCAAUUAUACUAACGGCCCAAAUACCUAGCCCUAACAGCACACAUCCGAAAAAACCUAGCCCUUUGCCCCAGCGCCGCACGUCAGCAAGGCUCCCUCGCACGCCUCCGCCGCAGACGAAUCGGGCCACGUCGCCCCCGCACAACGCACGUUCUCCUCCAGUGCAUCUGUAACAAACCACGAACAGCACUAGAAUAACAGAAAUAUAGAAAAAGAGAUUGUUUUUUUUUCUCUGUAAAGAUUCGGUUAUAAAAACCGAUGGACAUCUGCAAAAUUUUUUUUUUACGCAUAUUGAAGAAAGAAAACAAAAAAAAAAUCGAGGCAGAAAAGUUUUUUUGAUAGGUGAUUUUCUUCGUCUUUUAUUUCUUUCUCUUUUAUCUCUUUGAUUUUUUUUUCUUGGUGCACCAAACGAAAAUAAAAGGAAGAAGAGAGGUCCUUACCAACAUAGGCGCGCCGUCGACAUCCUGAUUUGCUUCGUCAAAAUCUAAGUUGAAAAGGGGGGGUUUCGGCAUGAAGAGCAGAGGGGAGGAUACAGCAGUUCUUGCGGCUGCUGUUACUGAAAAUGGAGUAGAAUAUCAGAUUUGCUUCAAAACGACGCCGUUUAAGCUCAGUUCAAAUAGCUUCAAAACGACGCCGUUUAAGAGGCGAGACCCGAUGAUCCGACCCGAUACGAGAAAGAGGAUCCGCGUGUUUUAUACUGAUGAUUUAUUUGCGCAUUGAAUCCUCCUAUUUUCUCGAUUUGUUUUGAUUCAAUCCCUUUCAUUUUUUUAAUUUCGGCCAUAUAAGUUUAUCUUGUUUCCAAUUUCAUCCUCUUAUCAGUUGAGGAUACAUAUGUCCAAAACGAUGCUGUUUUCAAUGAUCUGACCUGGUUUCCUAGACUGGUGCGCUUAAUUGCUGCAUUAGUCCCUUCAAUUUCAAACAAAUUACAAAUCGGUUCCCUUUUAUUUUAUUUAUUUUCAAAUUUUCCCCAAACAUUUGCUUUAGGACUAAUUUAAUCCUUUUUGUACAUGUGUUUUUUUUUAAAUAAUUGAUUUGAUAUCAUUUUUAUUAUUACUAUUAUUAAUAUUAUUAUUAGUAUGGUAUUUGUUUAUAAAAAUACUUUUUUUAUAUACAAUAUUUCAUUCUAUACAUUAUUUGUUUUAAGUAGAGGUGUCCAUGGGCCGGGUCGGGUCGAAUUUGGGCCGGGCCCAGAAAAAAUUUUGGCCUGUGACCUAGGCCAGGACCCAGCCCGAAAUAUGGGCCUGGAAUUUUGUAUAGGCCCGGCCCAGAAAAAAUUCCUAAGCCCAGCCCGGCCCGACCCAUUUUUUAAUAAACACAAAAAAUUUAUUUUAAGAAUAAAAAAUAAAAAAUAUAUAUUUAUUAUAUUCGGGCCGAGUCGGGCCUGGGCCAAAAAAGUGGUGCCCAAGGCCCGACCUGUUUUCUAAACGAGCCUCGUUUUUUUGCCCAAACCCAUAUUUCGGGACUAUAUUUUUACCCGAACCCUCCCAUAUUUCGGGCGGGUUGUCGGGCCGGGAUGUUUGGUAACUUAAGAUGAGUGAUAGUAAUGGUUUUAUUUGAGGAGAGAUGAUAUGAGGGAAGUCAAUAAAAAUAGAUUGAGGUAUGAUGUAAGAUAGUGUGUGAAUGAAAACAAUAAUGAGUAAUAAUUUUUUAUUAAAAAUGUUUUUUUUAAUUAUUAGAGAUUAUUAAAAUAUUAUGUUAUAAAAAUUUUAGAACUUAUGCUUUUAUAGAUUUUAUAAUUUUUUUAUUUUUAAUAAUUUUAAAAAUCAAUUUAAAAAGUCAAUUAUACCCUCUUAAAAUAAUAAAAAAAAUUAAGUAAGCCUUCCAUCACGUCAGCAUUUUUCAUAUUAAAUGCCAUGCUAGCCAUCAUAUUAUUAUAUUUCACGUCUGUCUAGGGCUUCAACGAAAAAUCAUAUUAUAAGGACUGAAUUAAUUACAGACUUUUGAUUAAAGACUCAAUUGAUUGCUUCUGAACGAGGGAUUUAAUUGGUUUUUAAAUUAGACAGGCCCUUUACACCAAAAUUAUGGGCUGGGCUACCACUUUAUAAAAGAAAAAGUUCCAACUUUAACAUAAACUGUAUUUGGACAUCUUACUUAGUGUAGGGGCUACGUUUUAAUCCAUGGAGAAGUAAAAUCAUAUUAGCCGCCCCUUUAAGGCCUCGUUUAUUGUGAUUUUGAGAAAUUAUAUCAUAUGAUUUUGAUUGAGAUUUAAGUAAUAUUUGUUAUUUUAUGAUAUGAAAUUAUUGGUAUGAUUAGGGGAGAAAGUAUUGUAUGAAAUUGUAAUUUCACGUCAUCUCUAUCCAUUUCUAAUAGAAGAAUAACAAAUUAAAUUUUUUCGGAAGAAAUUUAUCCCCUAUUAUCUCAUUGGCUGACCUCAACCCUUGUUAUUUUGAGGUCAUAUCUAAUAUUUAGAGUUUACCUCGAUUUGGUACCGCUCUCGUGGCCUGUACCGAAACAGUACUUUACCUCUAAAUGUCCAAUCAACUGUGCCUCAAUGCAUUUCAAGGAGAACCAGCUAGCUCUGGAUGUCACUUACACUGUGUUUGGUUCAGUGUAAUAGGUAAUCCAUUACGCCCCGAUUACCCGCCUAUUACAUUACGCCCCUAUUCCGGCGUUUGGUUCGCUAUAAUAGAUAUUACGCGCAUAAUACAAUCCCGACCUAAUCCCCAAAUUCCCUGCUUUUCUAUUCCCUUCCCAAAUCCCAGAUUACCUAUUACGUCCGGCUUCCCUUCCCAACUCUCUGUUUUACCCUCCCUCCCUACCCGAAAUCUACCUCCACCCUCUCCUUUUUCUGUCCCCAUCAUUUCUCCUCCCAUUUCCCACUGCUUCAUUUUUCCUCUCGAAGCACGUUUGGUUGUUGAAUCUUACCGACGACUGGGGUUCCUCUCCCUCGGAAAUCCUUAACUCUCGCCUAAAAUCGCAAGGUAAGGAUAAUGGGUAAUAUAUUUUGUUUUUCUUUUGUUUACUAUGCUUUUGAGGUAGAGUAUGUUUAGGUCUUAACAGUUCUCUAUUUAUGUUGAUCAGAAUUAUUUGGGGUUAGCUUAAAAUCACUACAAAGUUAAAUGUCUCCAUCUCUGCAAGUCCCCCCAAUAUAUAUAUUUUUGCGAAAAAUUUUGAACUUGGGAGAAGAUAUCUAAUUCUUAUAGAUUGGUUUAGUUUUCUAUAUGGAAUGGACAUUGUUAUCAGUUAAUCCUAGUUGCUUGAUGAAUCUUUCUUCUUCUUUGACUUCUCUUAAUCUGUUUGGGCGUCGUAUGCAAUGGAACUUCUCUUAAUCUAUCUCAAAUACAACUAAAUAAAAAUUCAUAUUUUUUCAACUAUUCUUCUGAAAAUUUAUUUUGUUUGUUUUGCAGUAUCUUGAAUACAUAUGACAGAUACAAAUAUUUUAAAAAAAACUAAGAACCCGAGAAGAAAGCUUUGCCUUUGGUUUUUGUUGCUCGAUGUUCAUUUUAUAUUUGUUAAUUCAUGAAACGAAAGCUCUCAUAUUUUUACUGGUCAGCUUAUGAGGAUUAGGGAAUUUUAAUGUGUUGAUAGAGAUCUUCAUCUAGAUAUAUAAUACUAGCUAUCCGUGUGAUUGCUUUAACUAUGGAGAACUUAAUCUAGAUAAAUCGUGUUUAGAUUAUGUAUGUACUUGCUUUGUACUUGUUGGAUUUAAUAAACAUUAGAUUCGGCAAUCUGCAUUUCAGCAUUUAUGGUGUUAUAUAUUUAUAUAAAAUUUGGCAAGUUUAUAAUUUGUAUCAUAUAAAAUUUCUUACAUUUGCUUAUUCAUUUAGUUUGCAAUAUGAUUAAUCUUAAUAAAAAUCAACCUAUAUAUGUUUUUGUUCUUUGAUUGGAGCUCUGCAUAGAUGAAUACGAAUUUGAUUUUGGUGUGUAAUUGUAAGCUUCUAAUUAUUUGUUUAGCGAUAUUCUUGCUUGGAAAUAUUGCUUACUUGAUUUACUGGUAUUUUGCUGUCAGUUUUGAACAAGGUUUGAUUGUUGUUUUUAACCCUUUUUUCUUUGAUUUAUCAUAUUGUGAUGAUCAGAUUGUUAUGAAUGUCAGGGUCUGGAUACGAUGAAUCCAAUAUUAAUCAUAGACAAAAAAGUGAAGCUGGUGAGUUGUUAACUUUGCAAAUCUUGCUAUAUUAUUUAAAUCAAGGUCAGUGUCAGAUGUGGAUCUGUACGUGACAUGGAUUUACCAAAAUUUUCUAUGUUUUUCUCUAUAUUUGGAGGACCAUUCCUCCACACUAGUGUCUGAAUAUGUUAUGUAUACAUAAAGAAACUGAAAAGUCCGAAUAUGAAGAAAUAAUUGGGACUUGCUUUGUUUUCUCUGAAGAUGGUGAGCAAUAUUUCCUGUUAUACUUACUUUGAGCUAAACCGGGACUUGGUUAACUUACUCCAUCCUAUUCUCUCUUUGUUAUCAUCUUCUUGCCCCUUGCAUAGCGGAAUAGCAAGUUACUUGUACAAUCCAGGCAUUCUUGUCGUGUUAUUAUUAUUUUUCUAUGUCGUAUUGCAUUUAAGGUGUUAUAUAGUUUGUGACACGAUAAAUCCAUGAUAGAUUUUGGCAUGUUUGUGCAUACAUGUUGUGUUCCAGUAGUUGAACUUCAGUCCGUAACAUAGGCUGCCUCUUGGUUUAUUCUGUUUCUCAAACAUUUUGCAUUGCAUGAAUUAAUAACUUGUGUGUGAAAUUAUGAUUUACAGAAGCUUCACCUGUAGUACAUGAAGAGACAGGUCCAUCAGAGGCAAAUCUCUUCUCAGGCAAAUAUAUACUAGAUCCAAAUCAAGCUCCGAGAAAGCAAGUAAAACCGGUCGCUCGACUUCAGAAGAUUCUCAAGUUCAGAUUGUUACUCGACGAGGAUGUUCAAGUCGAAACAAAUUCCCAAAAUAAUUCAAUUUUGUAAACUAGCAAACUCAAAAUUUGUAGUUAAAUGUUGAUCCUUAACUUUGAAAGUAAUUUAAU
RNAcentral lists this long non-coding RNA (19494 nucleotides) under Gossypium raimondii (Peruvian cotton). RNAcentral describes it as "long non-coding RNA (GRAI_LNC005199)". The record is from RNAcentral. Lineage: Eukaryota; Viridiplantae; Streptophyta; Magnoliopsida; Malvales; Malvaceae.